Molecule: ribosomal RNA, 715 nt
Filed under: Arthrobacter sp.
Lineage: Bacteria; Bacillati; Actinomycetota; Actinomycetes; Micrococcales; Micrococcaceae
Description: bacterial SSU rRNA
Rfam family: Bacterial small subunit ribosomal RNA
Source: RNAcentral
UCUAAUACUGGAUAUUGACUUUUCCUCGCAUGGGGUUUGGUUGAAAGAUUUAUUGGUUUUGGAUGGACUCGCGGCCUAUCAGCUUGUUGGUGAGGUAAUGGCUCACCAAGGCGACGACGGGUAGCCGGCCUGAGAGGGUGACCGGCCACACUGGGACUGAGACACGGCCCAGACUCCUACGGGAGGCAGCAGUGGGGAAUAUUGCACAAUGGGCGAAAGCCUGAUGCAGCGACGCCGCGUGAGGGAUGACGGCCUUCGGGUUGUAAACCUCUUUCAGUAGGGAACAAGGCCAGCAUUUUUGUUGGUUGAGGGUACUUGCAGAAGAAGCGCCGGCUAACUACGUGCCAGCAGCCGCGGUAAUACGUAGGGCGCAAGCGUUAUCCGGAAUUAUUGGGCGUAAAGAGCUCGUAGGCGGUUUGUCGCGUCUGCCGUGAAAGUCCGGGGCUCAACCCCGGAUCUGCGGUGGGUACGGGCAGACUAGAGUGAUGUAGGGGAGACUGGAAUUCCUGGUGUAGCGGUGAAAUGCGCAGAUAUCAGGAGGAACACCGAUGGCGAAGGCAGGUCUCUGGGCAUUAACUGACGCUGAGGAGCGAAAGCAUGGGGAGCGAACAGGAUUAGAUACCCUGGUAGUCCAUGCCGUAAACGUUGGGCACUAGGUGUGGGGGACAUUCCACGUUUUCCGCGCCGUAGCUAACGCAUUAAGUGCCCCGCCUGG